ACGCUCUUAGUCCAAUGGCAAGACGCUGGUCUCCAAAACCAGAGACCGGGGUUCGACUCUCCGAGGGCGUG
This 71-nucleotide transfer RNA is filed under the name Berryella wangjianweii. Its description in RNAcentral is "tRNA-Trp". It matches the Rfam family "tRNA". From Rfam's summary of the family: Transfer RNA (tRNA) molecules are approximately 80 nucleotides in length. Their secondary structure includes four short double-helical elements and three loops (D, anti-codon, and T loops). Further hydrogen bonds mediate the characteristic L-shaped molecular structure. tRNAs have two regions of fundamental functional importance: the anti-codon, which is responsible for specific mRNA codon recognition, and the 3' end, to which the tRNAs corresponding amino acid is attached (by aminoacyl-tRNA synthetases). tRNAs cope with the degeneracy of the genetic code in two manners: having more than one tRNA (with a specific anti-codon) for a particular amino acid; and 'wobble' base-pairing, i.e. permitting non-standard base-pairing at the 3rd anti-codon position. Lineage: Bacteria; Bacillati; Actinomycetota; Coriobacteriia; Eggerthellales; Eggerthellaceae. The record is from RNAcentral.